UACGGAGGGUGCGAGCGUUAAUCGGAAUUACUGGGCGUAAAGGGCGCGUAGGUGGUUCGAUAAGUCAGAUGUGAAAUCCCUGGGCUUAACCUGGGAAUUGCAUUUGAUACUGCCGGACUAGAGUGUGGUAGAGGUAAGCGGAAUUCCCGGUGUAGCGGUGAAAUGCGUAGAUAUCGGGAGGAACAUCAGUGGCGAAGGCGGCUUACUGGACCAACACUGACACUGAGGCGCGAAAGCGUGGGUAGCAAACAGG
Molecule: non-coding RNA, 253 nt
Filed under: uncultured bacterium
Lineage: Bacteria
Also listed under: 1 other name
Description: partial 16S ribosomal RNA
Rfam family: Bacterial small subunit ribosomal RNA
Source: RNAcentral